AGAGACAAUCCAAUGCAAACACAGAGUUUUAUAGUGGUUCGGAGCUACCCCUUGCUCCUACGUCCACUCCCCAAGUCUCUCUUGGGAAUUCACUAUAACCCCCUUGGAUUACAGCCGGUUGUUUUGCAAGCUCACAACCAAACUUGUUGUUUUACGAGCUCACAACGAACUCGGUCGGUUUUCCCAGGCUCACCGACUAGAACCAACCCCGAUUGUUUUCCCGGGCUCACAAUCAAACCCCUACACGCGUUGGUUUUUAACUUGGCUCACCAACCAACCUUAGUCCCCUUGAUUCAAUCCCCCGAUUGAACCAAGUAAAUACAAGUUAUAGAAAGAAGGGAAAAUAAGCUUCUCAAAAGCAGAUGUAAAACAAUAUAAUCAAAAGAGGAGUUUAGAAGCCCUCAAACGCUUUUAAGCUGAAGUAGAGGAAUGGCUUCUUGAACUCCGGUCUCCUCUCGAAUGUGUAGUCGACUUGAAUGCUGGAGGAGAAGGCUUUAAUUCCUGGGAAGAUGUAGGUGGAGCUGUAAAUGCAGAUCUUCCCUUUUUCGUUGAAGAGCACGUUGCAGAGCUUGAAUCCUUGAUUAGUUGGAGUGGAAUAACUGUUCUCUCUUUUGCUACAGUCUUCUGUGGCUAUUUAAGCCAACCCCCACGGAAACUAGCCGUUACACUGCUUUUUCUGCCCGUUCUGCACACUCUACGCAGCCUGACAAUAUGACCGUUGGUAGGUUGGAGUCGACUCGCGCGAUCAGGAGUCGACUCGGCUGUAGCGGGAGUCGACUCAAGCUUUUCCGGAGUCGACUCGGCAACUGUUCCAAAUUUGAAUUAAAGUUGCCGUCACGACUGGGAGUCGACUCGU
This 856-nucleotide long non-coding RNA is filed under the name Phoenix dactylifera (date palm). RNAcentral's name for it is "long non-coding RNA (PDAC_LNC009154)". Lineage: Eukaryota; Viridiplantae; Streptophyta; Magnoliopsida; Arecales; Arecaceae. The record is from RNAcentral.